CCUACGGGAGGCAGCAGUAGGGAAUCUUCCGCAAUGGACGAAAGUCUGACGGAGCAACGCCGCGUGAACGAUGAAGGCCUUCGGGUCGUAAAGUUCUGUUGUUAGGGAAGAACAAGUGCUAGUUGAAUAAGCUGGCACCUUGACGGUACCUAACCAGAAAGCCACGGCUAACUACGUGCCAGCAGCCGCGGUAAUACGUAGGUGGCAAGCGUUGUCCGGAAUUAUUGGGCGUAAAGCGCGCGCAGGCGGUUUCUUAAGUCUGAUGUGAAAGCCCCCGGCUCAACCGGGGAGGGUCAUUGGAAACUGGGAAACUUGAGUGCAGAAGAGGAAAGUGGAAUUCCAAGUGUAGCGGUGAAAUGCGUAGAGAUUUGGAGGAACACCAGUGGCGAAGGCGACUUUCUGGUCUGUAACUGACGCUGAGGCGCGAAAGCGUGGGGAGCAAACAGGAUUAGAUACCCUGGUAGUCCACGCUGUAAACGAUGAGUGCUAAGUGUUAGAGGGUUUCCGCCCUUUAGUGCUGAAGUUAACGCAUUAAGCACUCCGCCUGGGGAGUACGGUCGCAAGACUGAAACUCAAAGGAAUUGA
Molecule: ribosomal RNA, 585 nt
Filed under: uncultured bacterium
Lineage: Bacteria
Description: bacterial SSU rRNA
Rfam family: Bacterial small subunit ribosomal RNA
Source: RNAcentral